Molecule: long non-coding RNA, 1702 nt
Filed under: Vulpes vulpes (red fox)
Lineage: Eukaryota; Metazoa; Chordata; Mammalia; Carnivora; Canidae
Description: lncRNA (ENSVVUG00000012932.1)
Source: RNAcentral
GCCAAAAUCAAGUCAGAUGCUUAACCACCUGAGGCACUCACAUGCCCCAUCUCCUCGAGUUUUUAUUGAGGGAAUGAGUGGCUCAAUUUGGAGAUGUUCAGUUUUGAAAUUGUCUUCACUAAGAGAUUGUGUUCUAUUCAUGUCUUUCAAAUAGGCUUGCUUUUCUAAGGGUUUGCUUAUUCCUGCAGCUCGUUUCUCAACAUUAAUAAGGUAUUAACGGGGAACCUUUUAAUUUAGGAAACAUUUUAGAGGGGUUUGUGUGGUGAGGAGGAUAUGGUCAUUUCAGGGGAUUUCCUGUGUGUAUUCUUCUUUCUCUAGAUUUUUGGGUAAGUCGAAGCUUUGUCCAAGAAGGCAACUGCCAUUUGCAACCCUACUUUGUCAAUGAAACCUGUUGCAUUAAAACCUUCAAACUUAUCUUCAACUGAAAAAUUAAGAAGCAUUCGGUGUCCAUGUGAACUCUUCUAUGUUUGCUGCUCCAAAAUUAUUUCUAAGGGCACAGCAGCAUCAGUCAUCACUGGUAGCCCCGAGCCAACAGAUUUUUGCCGAGUGCACAUUUCACUGGCCUGCACUAUCACUGGAAGCAGAGAAGUUGGUGCAAGGCUUAGUACGCACCCUUUCUUCAGAGCCUUCACUGGCAGACAGGGACAUGCAUCAUCCAACCCAGGUCUGAACAGCGAGUUCAGAAGCCAUUUCAUUAUUUAAAUUUCCGAUCUGCAGUGUUGUAUGAAAUACUGUUAGGAACUCUCUGCUUUAGGAUCUGUAGAAUAUCAACACACUUCCAAACCUAAAUCUAAAGCGGUGGUGCUUAAUAAUUUAUAUGACCGCCUCUUCCCGACCAUCCCCCUCCCCGCCACCCCACCCCUCCCCAAGUGUUGUUAAAAAUAAUGAAAUAGAGGAUCGACACUCUCAGAGAAUGUAACACGCCAAUUUAUGAUUCUAAUUCUCUGUUUGGUCAUCUGAAAUAUACUAUUUUAACAGCUUUAUGCCUUUCGCAGGUAUUUCUUAAAAGCAAUUCCUACUUGCAUUACUGUUCCGUAAAUGUUUUGGCUUGAAAGAGAAAAUGUGUCCUUCAAACAAGUUUAUUUCUUUCAGGGCUACUUCUGUAUGUGAAUUCCUCCUGGUGACUACCCCGUGUUUUCUGUUAUCACCUUCUCAGGGUUCAAUUCAUUACCCCUGUUCAUUAUUCAAUUUGUUGGGCUUUGAGCACCUGAAUAAUUGAAAGCUAUGCAAGUAUUAUAAAUUAUAUUGUCCACACUCAUAAUCCCCAUUUUAGAGUUUAUAGCUUCACUGUAAAAAUUCACUGUGUUGGAACCUUACAUACAAGGUCUUAUAUUGAAAACAAAUUAAUUUAUAAAUACAUUUUUUUUCUCCCCCAAACUCAAUAUUUAUCAAAUCUUACAUUUUUCAGUUAUGGUUUUUAUGGCUUUUACUGCCAUAGCAAGACCAAUGAAAAGAAUGUUUUACACGAUCACUAUUUCAUUCUUUUUUUGCAACAAAUAUUUAUGGAAUGACUAUUCCUUUGACAGUGGGAGGCUGGGGUGAGGUCAGCCUAUUCUCUUCGGAGAUGAAAGGGAAAGCAGCCCUUUCAGUGAUGGCUUCCACCUCCUGAUGGCACUCCCAAGAGAGAACAAAAAAUACACCCUCAACAAAUCCUAAGUGGUCCUGUCUCUGUAGCCUUUGCCCCUUGGCUCUCCCUGGUCCA